UAUAUAUAUACACAUAUUAAAAAUAGGAAAAAGAUGAAAACUGAAACUGAAAAAAGAAAAGAAGAAAUAACAGAAACUCACCGUUGAGUAAAAUUUCAUUGAGAUAUUGUCUGUUUACAGAAUAAAUGCACUGAAAAACAUGAAAGAAUGAUCAGUGCAAAUAUUUAAGGAAUACAAUGUCUGGAAAACGAUUCGUAGGAGUAAGUUAAAUCAAUUCCUGGAAGAACUCAGUGAUACUUAUCUACAGUAAUAAAAAAAAAUGUGAUAACAACUGAUGAUAACAAGAAGAAAUCUUUUCACGGCAACAAAGUUAAUGUCUCAAGAUAUACAUAUUUAAGUAAAUAUAUAUUUAUAUUAUGUAUGGAUGUCCUAUCUAACUUGAACAGC
This is a long non-coding RNA of Vespula vulgaris, 387 nucleotides long. RefSeq lists it as uncharacterized. The record is from RefSeq and is a predicted model, not a curated record. Lineage: Eukaryota; Metazoa; Arthropoda; Insecta; Hymenoptera; Vespidae. The transcript has 3 exons.